This 2335-nucleotide long non-coding RNA is filed under the name Gallus gallus (chicken). RNAcentral's name for it is "lncRNA (ENSGALG00010017249.1)". The record is from RNAcentral. Lineage: Eukaryota; Metazoa; Chordata; Aves; Galliformes; Phasianidae.
GAAAACUCCUGCAUAGCAUCUGUCUGUGUGACAGGGGCUUCCCUGAGCAGGGACUCCUCUCAAGGUUAUACAGAUUCAGAGAUCUCUUACACCUUGAUAUCAAGAUGCCUUGCUGAUACAGAACCGUGACCUUGAGUAGGAGGAUGUCUUUGAGUGUGGAAUGAGUACAGACUACACGUAGGAGGCCUAAAGGACUACAUCUUUGAAGAACUACGCGUAGAUUCAUGAAAUGUUUCAGAAUUUCUUCUGGGAUCUGACCUACAAAAAUCAACAGGAUUUAUGAUACCCUGCAGUUUACAGCAAGCACUUAACAAAUACUCCUAUUUCAGAUACAAAACUAAUAAUGUUCAAAUAUAGUCUCGGAUGUUGCAGUCUUUGCUGUUCACUGAAUAGUUUUCCAGCAAAUGUCAAGGAAGGAUGCCAAGGAAAGAGCUGUGCUGUAUGAGCUGAGAGUACUGCAUGAGAUGCCUUGAUGAAAUAAAUUGGUAAUUGUUGCAGAAAGUGAAAGUAGACAGAGUGACACCUACAGCUUCUGCUUGUGCCUCGCAGACUGGAGUUGUCCCUUGGAAAUCCAGAGGGCUCAGCAGAGCAUCUUCUCAUGACCUGAAUGUUGAGCUGUUUGCUGCUGGAUGCUGAUGAACUGAGCAUGUUGCACUGUUUGGGACCUUAUUACCCAGCCUGACUGUUCUUUUUCUGUACACAUAAGUUGGGCUUUAAAUUAAAAGCUAGGUGGAGCAAGGACUGGCAUCAAUAUGUGCUGAGACACAGCCUAACACAGCCAAGUCCAGCAGCAGGUUUUGGUAGUUGACUGGCAUCUCAAUAUCUGACAACACCAAUAAUAAGUAGUAGCCUCGGCCUUAAAGCAUUGCUCAUCUGAUCAUAGAAGUCAGUCCUAAAUGAGCUGAGUGAGUCCUAAAUGAAUGAGUCCUGCUAGCCUAUAUGUCACAGAAGUGAAAUAAGUGUUACCACACAGGCAGCCUAUAGUCCCUUGUAUUACCCACAUUUGGAUCCUUCCAGUGACCUUAUCUUGGUUGGAAUUAAUGAUGAAUUAUGAGGAACUUCCUUUGGCUAUCAUUAGACUUUUGGCUCAGUGUCCUAGAAAUUUCUUCAGUGCAAGACUGUUGAUAUCACUCUUAAUUAAUAAUCAUUUGUUAUCGGCUUAAUUCAGUUGUUUGGUUUCUAACUUUCAGCUGUGUAGUCUAAACAUUUCCCAAGUGCAGAUAAACUGCUUUAACUAAAAAUGUUAUGAUUUUGAUAUUGACUUGAUGUCUUCCUGGCAUAGUGUGAAGAUUUCAUUCUUCCAUCUCUUUGAUUAAUAGAGCUAUUGCAAACCCUACUAUUUAGGGUACCAAGGAGUGAAAUAGCUGCGCACCGCAUAGGUUAACCUAGGUAAGAGUUAUAAAGUCCUGUUUCUGUGAAAAGCUAAUUGCUCUGAAACUGCUCCAUUCUUCAGUAUGCAGUAUGGUUAAUCAUUGUUAUUCUUUUACACAGAGUACUGAAGAGUUCGGUCUAAGUAUCAAGAAACUUUUCUGCAAAACUCUCUGCUAGGGAAUUGUGAGGCCUUUGCCCCAAAGAGCUGUCAGGUCUCACAUCUUUACACUGAACAGGGGCAGUCCUCUGGUCACCAGCCAGUCACCAGGUGCUCUCAGCAGCACAUGCUGGGCCAUUCACAAACUUCAUAUGUUUGUUCCCACACCCUCCAUCAAAGAUGCUCUGGGGGUUACAGCUGUGCUUUGGGUAAUCACAGUCUUUGGCGUAGUCAAAAUAGGAAUGCUCAGCUUCAUUUUUACUAAUGCAGCUCAUUUUAUCCUGCCAGUUUGUAACCAAAGUUGCAUUUGAGUUUUGCAGACUCAGCCCAUGCCCUCUUAUAAACAAACCAAGCAGAUUUUAUCAAUGGUAUCAGCAGGGACAUUUCAUUUAGUUGGGAAAAGUUCUGUUAAAACUAAGACACUUAAACAAUUAUCUGUCUUGAAAAUCAUUUUAAAAGCCUUCAUAUUUUAGAGUUUUUUUUAAACUGAAUUUACUGCAGCUGUUAUUUUCAUUAUUAUUGAUAUUAUAAUUGAUACCAUUUCUUUUCUGGGAUUACAUAUUUGGAUUUGCUGUCAUACACUGAUCAGCAGCCAUAAAAUAGAGUUAACAUCUUAGUAAACAUCUCAGGUUUAAGCAAAGAAUCUUGCAGAGUAUUCCCACUGCUUGGGGAUGAAAUAUUAGGUACAUUCAGUUUUCUUUUGCAGAUGUUUCUCUCUCCCUGUAUAGGUCAGGGACAUCAAAAACAGUGUCUGUGUGUGUAAAACUUAUGGCUGUUAUCUCGUUAUUAAACUGGAAGUCUGCACCG